CUGGGGGGCGGGCGCGGUAGUGGGAGGGUAGUAAACGUGCGAGGAGCAAGAACAAGGAGCAGCAGCAGCCCCAGCAUGGUGGCACGCGGCCUCCCACCUGCUAACAAGCACCCAGUCUGCCUGCCUGAGCCCCUGUCCCUGGAUCCCGGCCACAGCAGCAGUACAGCAGACAGACAGCUGCAGCAUCAGCACUGCAGGGAGAGUGCUGUCCCCCUGGCUAGGCGCACAGCAUUCUGGGAGUGGCCGCGGGGAAGAAAAGUCCUAGGAGCAGCAGCAUGGUGUUGGGUAAUGGCACUACACGCGGCCGCCCACAAGCAGCCCGGCCUUCAGCCUGCCUGACUGAGCCCCUGGUGAGGAGACCCAUUACCCACGCAGUCCUGGAUCCCAGCCCAAGCAGCACCACAGCACAGGACCAGCUGCAGCAUCAGCAUUGCAGGGAGAGUGCUGCCCAUCAGAUGUUGCAGUUGGAGAUCCCACUACUUUUGUGGGCAUUAUUGCCACCAUGCGCCAACACCUGCAGGGAUUAUUGAGGAGUGUGGAGCAGCUGGAAAAGUUUUCAUAAUUUUUAUUUUAAAACAUUUUAUUUUUCGUAAAAAAAAAAAACACCAAACAAAAAAAUACAAACAAUAAAAAAAAAAUUUUUCAACUUAA
Long non-coding RNA from Pseudophryne corroboree (corroboree frog), 651 nucleotides. RefSeq lists it as uncharacterized. The transcript is spliced from 3 exons. NCBI's taxonomy places the organism in Eukaryota, Metazoa, Chordata, Amphibia, Anura, Myobatrachidae. The record is from RefSeq and is a predicted model, not a curated record.